GCAUUAUAAUGAAGUUCUGUAGAGAUCAUCGUGUUUUUAAAUGUUUUCUUAACAAAGAUUACUUUGGUGACGCAAAAAUGAUUCCAGCUAAUCGUGAAUCAUAUCGCAAUAUCCGUCAAAAUAAUCACAAUAUGAUGUUUUUACCAUAUCGUGCAGCCCGGUAUUAAAGAACUCAUCGGGGCCGGAAACAAUUGAUCGGGACAUCCCUAGUUAAAGCUGGGAAGCUCAGAUUGAUUUCCUGUAGCACUUAACGGAAGUGCGUGUCCUGUCAGCAGAAGCCCAUCGUUCACGCUGCUAAAACCCAAAUUUAAUGAAUAUAGUGUCGAUGCACAGUGUUUGUACCCCCCCAAGCCCCGCCCCUUUUGGAACCUCCUCCUUUCCUGUAAUUAGAUAUGCUACAUGCUAGGCUAAUCUAUGUUGAACAGACAACCAGCUAGCUAAUCUACAUCAAUCGUUAAGUUAGCUAAUGUUUUGCUGACGUUAGCUAUCAGAUAUAACUAGCUGGCUAAAGAAAAACUUCAGAUGUGACUUAAUGUCUCUUUUAUCUUUGAACCAUCUUCAAAAUGUGGUUGUCUUUUAAACAUAGCCUAGCUUAGCAUAUCUAAGUACAGGAAAGGAGGAAGUUGACUGAGGUUUGCAGAGUGAAAAGGGGCGGGGCUUAGGAUGAAUGCUCCAAAGUAAACAUAAGAAUCCACCAUUGAUCCCAUCUGACAUACUUUCACCACCUGUGAUCAAACUGUCUCCUCCUCUUCCUCCUCUUCCUCCUUUGCAACCUGCAAACCCGAUCAUUGCCAAACCGGGAAGAUUCAGGCCUCAAGUGGACCGCUGCUGUCACCACAGACACAAUGACAGUUUGACCAAAACCGGACGACAAGUUUAACCUCAAAGGAAAGACUUUACCACAGAGGGAGUACAAACUGACCUCAGCAGGAAGUGAUCCAGGACUGUUAUUAAGGACUACAACUUCACCACAGUAGGACUACAAUUACCACAUCACUGUUAUCUGUCUCUUCUGUCUACCUCCUCCUCAAGAACUUAAAAGGCACCUUGAUUGAUUUUUACUGGGCUGUGUUAAUGCUGGAACGACACGAUCUGCUUCUCAACUCUCUCGAUGGUCCAGAGCUUCUCGUGGAAUCUGGUGUUUAGAUUUAGUUAUUUACUCAUUUAAAUCAGUUAAAUGUCAGUUUUAUUUGUCUGGAUUUCAAUGGAAAGUUCUCAGGGCGCAGUCGUACUUCCAGUUGGUUUUAUAUGAACUAAAGCAGACAGGAAAAACUCACUUUGUUGUAUUUUUGUAUUUGUGUAAAAGGUGGCAGUGGAUGGUUUGUUAUUUCACUCUGAACAUUGGCUCUAAAUUCACAGUCCCAAAUCCUCACCAGGACCUCAAAGAGAGUUCAGAACCAGUUUCUCUGUUCUUGUAUCAAUGCAGAUCGUAACCACGCGGUGACCGACGGGAAACUGAACGGGAGAAUCCGCCUGCAGUUUGAAUGCAGGGCGGGAACUCACAGGGAACCUUUGGAUCUUCUGGGACUAAAAGGAACCGAACUGAACUGAAAGACAUCAAAUCAGAACAUUUCACACAAACAUUUCCAACAUGUCUGUGAGAGAAAACGGGAAAACACAACAAUUCUUCCACAACAAAACGACGGCCGACGUGAAUGCGCAACCUUUUCUUCAGAUUUGUUUGUUCCCAGUCUUGUUUUUAAUAUAUUGAUGAAUGUUGAGUAAUCUGGCGCUCUGGUUGGUCAGACUCUUUGACGUCUGGAGAAAGUCAAGAAUGCUAGUCGCUGCAGGGCAACAUGACAUCAUUAAAACCGUCUGAAGACUUCAUCAACAGAACCACAGACAGUUGGCUGAACAGAGCCGUCUGUGUGGUAAGGGGUUGUCAAAGCUGAUCAAAUGUCUAGUUGGUUUUAAAGGUCCAGUGUGGAGGAUUUAGUGGCAUCUAGUGGUGACGUUGCAGAUUGAAACCAUCUGAAUACAGAGGAACUAAAACGACCCAAUCUACAGCCAGUGUUUGUCUGUUCUGGGCUACUGUACAAACAUGGCGGUUCAAUAUGGCGGACUUUGUAGAAGAGGACCCGCUCCCUCUGUAGAUAAAAACAUCUCGUUCUAAAGAAAACAAUUAUUAUUUUCAGGUGAUAAUACUCUAUGAACAUUUCUGACAAUAGAUCCUCCUCAAUGUGACACACUGGACCUUUAAAAGAUCUAUUCAGACUUUCUCCAGAUUUCUAUUAGCUGGAACCAGACGUAUUGAUUAGAGUUGUUCCGAUACCUGUAUCAGAAAUUCCUCUGAUAAAGCCUAAAAUCAGGUAUUGCAAGUACUCGUGUCUGUGCACUGAUCUGAUACCACGUAAUGUAUUCGCCUCCAGCAGGGUCCUGUUUACCUACCCGAACAUUAGCUGGGAAACAACGAUAGCAAUCAUACAGGCUUAAUAUUAAACGCUAUAUAUUUAUAUUUUAACGCACAUGAUGAUGAUGAUGAUGAUGAUACCAGAUCGGUACUCGGUAUCGGCCGAUAUGCAAAGUUCAGGUAACCAAUCAGUGUUGAGAAGGAAACAAAUGGUAUCUCUCAUAGUGAGUUUACAUUACGCCCCCUACAGUGACGUGUAGUUGGUCCAUCCUCAGACCUUGUUCUGAAAAGUUUCUACUGGGAAGAAAUAGUCCCAGUGCAAACUGCUGACACUGCUGGUGUGGUUACCCAGUAACCAGGAGUGUCUGCGAGGGUGGACGCUGGUCGGAGGAAACUCCGUUAAUCUCUUUGUGUUUGAGCGUGGAAACCUCAGAAAAUCAAACUGAAAGUGAAACAGCUUCCAUGAAAUGUAGUGUUCCCACUUUAAGGUAAUUAACAUUCCUCCUCUGAUUAUUCAUCUAGCGCCACCAGCUGGUCUUCAGUCUUCAGUGCAGAGGAAGACCCUCAGACUGCCACAGACACCGAUGUUACCCACAGAACCAAUCCUAACCAACGCUCUGAUCCACUCAGUCAGCGCCACCAUUGUGUCAAAGUGUCUGCACUCACAGACAUGUUGGGAAUAUUUAUUUAUUUAUUUAGAUUUAUUGUUUGUAUCAUGAGGAAAGCGUUCCCCUGCCUCUCUGUGGGAACUGAACCCAAACGUCCUCUUUCUUCCACAAACACUGAAAGGAAGGAGACGUUUGGGUUCUAACGUCGUCCGUCCUCCUUCCUCCUCAUGUAUUCUGUCUCUGUGACCUCCUCAUGUGCUGAAUUGUAAUAAAGCAUUUCAAAGAUUAGCUGUGUGAGACACACACACACACAUAUACACACACACACACACACACACACACACACACAGGAGGAUGUCAGGUGAUUGCAUCAUGUGUGUGUGUGUGAGUGAGAGAGCAGCCAUGAAAAUGAACAAUAUGUUUUUGUGUUUGUGUGAAAAUGUUCUGCCACAAGAUGGAAGCCGUGUGUGUGUGUGUGUGUGUGUGUGUGUGUGUGUGUGUGUGUGUGGGCUUGUCAUCUCAGUAAUGGUGUUGCUAUCAGAGAGAGAAAGACAGAGAGGCUGGUUGUCCCUGACGACGGUGCGCCGUGUUGCCUGGCAACAGCGAUAACAAUGGCCCACCCCCAGUGUUCUAGAAUGUGGGCGUGGCCUGAGGAAGAGCGAGGGGGGGGGGUCUUUAAUUGUGACACAAACAGCUGUGACGUUAAAAUUGUUGAUAUUUAUCAUAAAUCUGCAAAUAAAGACGACAAAAAAACAAACAAAUAAGCAAACAACAACAACAACAACAGAUCCUUUAUGGAAGCAGUUUCCUAAUAAUUUAUAUAUUACUAAUUAUACUGAACAUUAAGAAAAUAAAAGCAGCGUUGAAUUAGUGAACUUUGAAUUAAUUAUGAAUAUGAAUUCACAUUAAAUUGACUUAUGCAGGACAAGAGCUUUCCAAACAAUAAACACAUUAUGAACUUUAUACUACACUAUACUAUAAUAUAUAUAUAUAUAACAGCUUUAUACCACAUUAACAUACAGUGUCUGUGAAGGAGAGACUCGUAGGUUCACAUACAACCAUUUUCAUUCAGGUAUCUUGAGGUCAGAGGUUAAUAAUAAUAAUAAUAAUAAUAAUAACCAGUUUUUCCUUCGCCAAAAUUUAGCCUAAAGAGGAAAUUAUACCGGGUACGGCUUAAUCACAUCGCAUCCCACAGAGAGCAUUUCAGAGGCAGAGCGUCCUCAGAGCUUCCUUAGAGUGUCUUCAGAGCGUCUUCAGGUCGUCCUCAGGUCGUCUUCAGGUCGUCUUCAGGUCGUCUUCAGAGCGUCUUCAGGUCGUCUUCAGAGCGUCUUCAGGUCGUCUUCAGAGCGUCCUCAGAGCGUCUUCAGGUCGUCUUCAGAGCGUCUUCAGGUCGUCUUCAGAGCGUCUUCAGGUCGUCUUCAGAGCGUCUUCAGGUCGUCUUCAGAGCGUCUUCAGGUCGUCUUCAGGUCGUCCUCAGAGCGUCUUCAGAGCGUCUUCAGGUCGUCUUCAGAGCGUCUUCAGAGCGUCUUCAGAGCGUCUUCAGAGCGUCUUCAGGUCGUCUUCAGAGCGUCUUCAGGUCGUCUUCAGAGCGUCUUCAGAGCGCCUUUAGAGCGUCUUCCUGCCCGUCGUUGUUUAUUUGCGUAUUUUGUCUUUAAAAAGGAAACAAACGAUGAGUUUCUCUGCUUUAACCUCCUC
This is a long non-coding RNA of Dicentrarchus labrax (European seabass), 4653 nucleotides long. RefSeq lists it as uncharacterized. The record is from RefSeq and is a predicted model, not a curated record. NCBI's taxonomy places the organism in Eukaryota, Metazoa, Chordata, Actinopteri, Moronidae. The transcript is spliced from 5 exons.